RNAcentral lists this long non-coding RNA (268 nucleotides) under Elaeis guineensis (African oil palm). Its description in RNAcentral is "long non-coding RNA (EGUI_LNC040519)". The record is from RNAcentral. Lineage: Eukaryota; Viridiplantae; Streptophyta; Magnoliopsida; Arecales; Arecaceae.
ACCCUAUUUCAUUAAAAAGAGAUUAUGGGAUGUCUCAAAUUUAAAGAUCCUUCUUCUUCCUCCCGUCCCAACCUAGAAACCUCAACCUAGAUCUCUCAAAAAAAUCCUAAAAUCUCUUAAAACCAAGAUCUACUCUCCCUAAAUCUACUGUUCUCACGGCUCAUUUUUCAGUUUUUUUCAAAUUCCAAAUCCUAAUCCUCAAAUUUGUGAGAAACUCUUCAAAAAAUGUCCUCUCCAUUUAGUUACACUUCAAUCUGCAUCCUUCUCC